GGCUCCUUGGUCUAGCGGUCUAGGACAUCGCCCUUUCACGGCGGCAACACGGGUUCGAGUCCCGUAGGAGUCA
Molecule: transfer RNA, 73 nt
Filed under: Subdoligranulum sp. CAG:314
Lineage: Bacteria; Bacillati; Bacillota; Clostridia; Eubacteriales; Oscillospiraceae
Rfam family: tRNA
About the family: Transfer RNA (tRNA) molecules are approximately 80 nucleotides in length. Their secondary structure includes four short double-helical elements and three loops (D, anti-codon, and T loops).
Source: Rfam by way of RNAcentral